CACAAAACAAGGUCCAGAUUACUCUCAUCCUAACUGUCUCUCCUGUCGGUUUUAGGUGUGGAUUCUCCGAGUGUGGUGACCCAGGAGCCAUCGUUCUCAGUGUCCCCUGGAGGGGCAGUCACAAUCACCCGCGGCUUGAGCUCUAGCUCAGUCUCUACCAGUUACUAUCCCGGCUCGUACCAGCAGACCCCAGGCCCGGCUCCACGCACGCUCAUCUACAGCACAAACACUCGCUCUUCUGGGGUCCCUGAUCGCUUCUCUGGCUCCAUCCUUGGGAACAAAGCUGCCCUCACCAUCACGGGGGCCCAGGCAGAUGAUGAAUCUGAUUAUUACUGUGUGCUGUAUAUGGGUAGUGGCAUUUCCACAGUGAUCUAAACCUAUGAGGAAGUGCAACUAAAACCUCUUUAUAUACUCAGAACAGUUCAGCCCUUACAGACAGGAGGGAAAGUGAGAGGGUGGAAAUGGUCAACACGACAGAGUUGGGAGGAAUUUCUAAAAGCAGAAGUUCUUAGGUGCCAGGUGUGCUGACUCAUGCCUAUAAUCACAAUACUUUGGGAGGCUGAAGCAAGAGGACUGCUUGAAUCCAGGAUGACACCAGUGUCUUCCACAUAGUGAGACUCCAUCACCACGAGAGGAAAAAAAAGAUGUAGGGUAUAUUUAGUGGUCCAUAUCAAUAUCUGUUACUGAAAACCAUCCCAUGGAGGACUGGCUUCCAGAAUCCCUUCUCCCGCCCACUGAGCUCACCUACCUGUGGCUCUGGCUCUCAGGGUCUUUGUAGGACACAGGGCUCAGCCUCUUAUCACAGAUUGUUCCACAGGAUCAUGGUUCCACUGAGAUCCUCUCAGCAUAGAUACGUACCUGUCCUGAACAGUGUCUCUUAACAUAAUGUUGGCAAGAUGGGAAGGACUGAGGGGUGACGGAGCCUUGGAGCCACCAGAAGAUGGCAGUAACCUCACUGCUGAGCUUUGCUGGGCCAGACUCAGGCUCCCACCCUCCUCCCUUCCUCUGACUCUUUUUCCUGGCCACCCGGGGUCCAGGAGCUUUUUCCACUCAAUCUGGGCUCAGGGGUCACCUCAGAGAACCUCUCAAGACAAAGGAGGUGUUUCAGGGGAUCUAACACAAGUGAGGGCAGAUUUUAAGACUGUCCAUGCACAGAAAAUCCUGUGAAAAGAAACAAACCAGCCCUACUUGUGUCUGUGCACCUGAGUCCUUAGGACUGUUUUCCUGAUCUCCUGGCUGAGUCAAGAUUGCAAAUGUGCGGUUCAUUAUCCAGAUCCAGAGAAAUCCAUGACAGUUUAUGAAGACAAAAGACGACAACUACCCUAUCUACUUGUCACACAAUGAAGACACUGGCCUUAGAUCUGUCAGUGCCCUGGAACAUUCUGGAAGAAGAGGGUGAAGGUUACUUGGCAUAUGUUGGGACUCAAACAUGAGGAUCUCAUGAUGACCCAGAGGGAUAAAGGUGGGAUCAGUUGUGAGGGUGGAAAAUGUGGAUUUCUUAAGGCCAUUUUGUUAAUCCUUUUCUCAUUGCAAAGGAUUUAAACUGAAAUGAACACGAUUUUUCUAAUAAAUGCUUAUGAGGCUUUCCAUUUAAUAUUUCCUGCCUUUAUGAAAAUAAAUAUAGAAAGUAAGAAAUAAAA
RNAcentral lists this long non-coding RNA (1640 nucleotides) under Pan troglodytes (chimpanzee). RNAcentral describes it as "long non-coding RNA NONPTRT009701". The record is from RNAcentral. Lineage: Eukaryota; Metazoa; Chordata; Mammalia; Primates; Hominidae.